UCAGUCUCAUGAAUAUUUCUGCUUCUCACAAAAAGGGAUUGAAUGGUUCUCAGGGACAUUGUCCUGCAGUGGGACAGCCUGGCUCCUCCUCCCUUUUGUCUGCUGUGUCUUUGGAGAGGCAAGCUGCCUUCCACCCAGCACACCUGCUGCACAACACCAGGGUCUCCCAUUCAGAAGAGAAAGAAAAUGCCCAAGAGAGGGAAAAAGAUCAAAAGAAAUAUUUUGUUUCCAGGCUUCUCUCGAAUAGGAGGAUAAUUCUGGAAAAUGAAACCAAUAUCAUAAAACGUAUUGAUCAUCCAUCGACUGAGUAUUUGCUAAGCCUAUACUAAGUGAGAAGCACUUUGGUGAGAAACUGCAGGGUCCUGCUGAGAUCUGACAAUGGUUUAUGACAUCGGAGAUGGAAGAAGUAGGCCUCAGGAGAUGGGCUAAGAACAGAAGACAAGAUCUAAGACAUGAAGGACUCUGUAUGUUCUGUGAAGGAGCACAGGUGUCUUUCUUUCUAUAAUCACAAGGCCCUGCAAUAUUUCAAUAAAUUUGGAAAAUUUA
Marmota monax (woodchuck) is the source of this 546-nucleotide long non-coding RNA. RefSeq lists it as uncharacterized. Lineage: Eukaryota; Metazoa; Chordata; Mammalia; Rodentia; Sciuridae. The record is from RefSeq and is a predicted model, not a curated record. The transcript is spliced from 2 exons.